Molecule: long non-coding RNA, 659 nt
Organism: Eriocheir sinensis (Chinese mitten crab)
Lineage: Eukaryota; Metazoa; Arthropoda; Malacostraca; Decapoda; Varunidae
Exons: 2
Source: RefSeq, a predicted model, not a curated record
GGCAUCCUCAAUGCAGCGAGCAUCAAUGCCUUCAUCAUCAGCUGCGAGAACCGUGCAAGGACAGGCAUCAGCAUACCAAAGAGGAGGACAUUCAUGAUGGAUAUUGGGAGGGCACUCAUCAUUCCCUGGGCUCAGUCACGCCUGUCAUCAAAAGUCCUGUCCCGCCAACUGCACACAUUAAUAACAACUGUGUGUGACCUUCCGUCACUGGGCAGCACUGCCGGGUCACCAGGGACAUCACUUUCGGAGGGAAAGUCACCCCUGGUGCGCUGUGCUGACUGCCCUAGCAAGUCGGAUAGGAAGACCCGGCACCGAUGCAACAGGUGUGCAAAACCAAUGUGCCCUCGGCACCUGUACCCCACCUGUGGUGACUGCAUGUAAAACCUCCCAGUGGCAGUAGAGGGGUGUACCUGACUGAGGCUAAGGUUUAAUGACCUAAGAAGCAGUGCACACAAGAAGAAGUCUCUGUUUUCAAUACUUUUUUUUUGACAAUUUUUUUUUCAAAAUUCACAGUAAAAUUUACUCUUUUAGUUUACUUAACAAUAAAAUCACUUAUAAUAUUAAAAUAUGAUACAAAAUAAAUUUAUCAAACACCAUUCAAAAGCUAAAGAGCUAUUUUUCUUCUGUAUACUUUGUAAUAAAAAUUAAUUGAAAAACAA